Molecule: non-coding RNA, 2785 nt
Organism: Pelobates cultripes (western spadefoot toad)
Lineage: Eukaryota; Metazoa; Chordata; Amphibia; Anura; Pelobatidae
Source: the annotation of a GenBank genome assembly
CUGAAAUAAGGAUUUGCUGAGGGACAGGAUAAACUAAUCACUAGGAGACAAGUUUGUAUUUAAUCCCAGAAAAAUCAAGUCAUACAGUUGCCAUGGAUCAAAUGAGCAGAACAUUAGAGGGGUAUUUGUACAAUUAUAUAAAAUGUAUUAUUUAACUGGCUGUCAGAUGAGUAUUUGAAUAGGGACAGUGCUUUGUUUAGCACAGCUAGUGGCUGCAUGUGUUUGUAGUAAAAUAACUGUAUCGAUAUGAGGGCCAGAGAGCACGAACUGAUGUUUUAUGCCAUUUUGCAUUAAGGUUUUUUUUUUUUUAAACACUCAAAACACUUUUGAAAAAGCCAAAACUGUCAAGGAAAAAAAGUUACUGCUUAAUGGAGUGAGAGAGAGUGUUUUAUAGGAGGAGAUACAUGGUAUCAACUUUGUGAAGUCUUAUUAAAAUAUAUACUAUAUAUAUUUUAUGUAUAUAAAAUAUAUACUAUAUAUAUUUUUUUAUAUUUAAAAAAAAAAAAAAAAGUCUGAUUUCUACCAAAACUGACUGGAAGUUAAACUGCAUUGACGUUUUAAUGAUGUACAAACUGGUGGAGAGAUGGGGUUGGCUGUAGAAAAGUUAAAUAAUUUGAUACAAAUACUGGUAAUUUUGCAUGCAUUACACACCAAUACAGAAAGCCAGGACAGGGUUAAAAAAAAGAGCCAUAAAACGAGCCAUAUUUUAAUACACACUAAAUGAGUAAGUAUAACGAAUUUCAGUGCUAAUUUUAUAGUUCUGUAUAUUAUUCUGACUUGAUAUGUGUGCAAGGACUUAACUGCACCCAUCGUGCACACAAAUGGUUAAAAUGCAUUUUUUCUUCUUCUACAAGUUUGUUAAGAUAUCUAAAUUUUCUUGGAGUCAAUAAAUAAUAUUAAAUUAAUUCAUCCGUCCCUCUACCAAGAAAAAAAUGCACUAACUUCAUUGUAAAAUUAAUGUGCUUUUUAUUUUUAUUUUUAACUUUAAUUUCUUCUUCUUAUUUUUUUUUAUACGCAUUUCCCUUAUGUUUUCUAUACAUUAAGGGGAAAACGGCUGUAAACAAAACACAGGCCAUUGUUUAGAUAACUUUUAAGGAACAAUCCCAUCCGCACCAACUUGUUUUCGUUUCCUGCACCAGAGAUGUACCGGUCACUUUAUUUGGGGUUUAACCCCUUGCACUCUUGUUAAACUGAAACGUAAGUCUGCUCAGAGAAACUUGGCUUUAAAAAGGCACAGACAAAUAAUGAACUCUAAAAAACACAUACAAACAGACGAUCCUUAACAAUUAUGAUAUGAAUAAUUAAUUAGCUGAAAUCCUCCUUUAGAAAGCAUAUGUUUUUACCCAUAAUAACACAGCAUAUACUUUUACAUAAAACAACAGAUUAAACAAAUAUCUUUAUUAUAAAAAUGUUACAAGGCAUUAGUAUCAAACAUAUAAACAAUACUAAACAAAUAAAUGUAACAAAUAUAUUUGUAUGUAUGCACAUAUACAUAAACACACACACACAGUCACUCUCUCUCUAUAUAUGUGCAUUAAAUGUGAGAUAGAUAUAUAUAUAUAUAUAUAUAAAUAUAACAAUGUGCGUGUAUUAAUCGAAAAUCAAUGCAUGCAUUAAGGCUAUGAACUAUGAAUAUUACUCACUGCAAUAUAUUUCCAUUUUAGAACCCCUGUUUUAUUUUACUGCAUUGUAUCGAUUGCUGUGAUGAAAGUGAUCAGAUUGAGAGAGUGACCCACCCCAGUGAGAUGUGGUGCAGCCAGCAGCCCUGUUCCCCAGGAGGUGAGAAGUCAGUGGUUUGUGUCUCCCCAUAGCCUGGAAAUCUGGCUUCUAUCUCAGCAAGGUCUCCUGACUCAAACAUUAUAUUAGCAGAACAAUUCGUUGACAGACAAAUAACAUAAACAAACAAAAAAAAAAAAUCGCAGCUCUUUGGAGUUUCCUCCUUCUCUGAAGUUUUUUUUUUGUGUGUGUGUGGAGGAUUCCCCACAGAUGUGAGGUGUCAAGCCAUGGACUCCUGGCUGCUGUUGCUGCUGCUGUCUCUCCUGCUCUCACGGUUUGGUGGCUGCAUGUCUGUCCUCAGGCAGGGAGGACGAAGAGUGGACUCUGCACUGGUCCCAGCUAAUACAGAGCCCUGUCAUCGAUUCUUCCACGGAAUCCAGAGAAUACUCCCAGCAAAUGCUGUCAGGAGACUGGGAUUAGCUGCCUGGGAGGUAAUAUCCUUACAUUUUCUUAAUUUCCAGAGGAGAAGCAAACACUGGAAACAUGAAGACAGCAGCAGGAGCAGGCAAAUAGUGCACAAGGAAAGACACACACACACACACACACACACACACACACACACACACACACACACACACACACUGUGUAUAUCAAUAUAUAGACAAACACAUAUAGAAACAUAUAUAGACACACACACAGACACAUCCACGCUGUUUGAAUAUAGAUGAAAACAGCAGACAGACACACAAACAUAUCUUCUUUAUCUAUUUUUAUAUUCACAUACUUGUUGCCUAAAGCUCCACGGGUAAAAUGAAAAACGUGUAAUUCUGUGUAGAAUGUUUAUGGAGAGCUGUUCGGGGCAAAGUUCUACAAGUGAAGUAAUCACCAUGGAAACCAAUGUCAAGACCAUGUUUAUGGUACUGCCUUUAGAGCAUUGGCCCAGAAUUACUGUUUAUACAGAACCUUCAUGGUAUGUACCAGAUGUGUGAGUAUAGAUUUUAUUCUAUUUAUCUAUCUAUCUAUCUAUCUAUCUAUCUAUCUAUCUAUCUAUCUAUCUAUCUAUCUAUCU